RNAcentral lists this small RNA (1661 nucleotides) under uncultured cyanobacterium. RNAcentral describes it as "bacterial SSU rRNA". The stretch from base 1 to 1140 matches the Rfam family "Bacterial small subunit ribosomal RNA", at positions 379 to 1533 of the family's 1533-position model. The record is from RNAcentral. Lineage: Bacteria; Bacillati; Cyanobacteriota.
CAAGCAGACGGAGCAAGACCGCGUGAGGGAGGAAGGCUCUUGGGUUGUAAACCUCUUUUAUCAGGGAAGAAGAUCUGACGGUACCUGAUGAAUCAGCAUCGGCUAACUCCGUGCCAGCAGCCGCGGUAAUACGGAGGAUGCAAGCGUUAUCCGGAUUUAUUGGGCGUAAAGCGUCCGCAGGUGGUUUUUCAAGUCUGCUGUUAAAGCGCGAGGCUUAACCUCGUAACGGCGGUGGAAACUGAGAGACUAGAGUAUGGUAGGGGUAGCGGGAAUUCCCAGUGUAGCGGUGAAAUGCGUAGAUAUUGGGAAGAACACCAGCGGCGAAAGCGCGCUACUGGGCCAUCACUGACACUCAUGGACGAAAGCUAGGGGAGCGAAAGGGAUUAGAUACCCCUGUAGUCCUAGCUGUAAACGAUGGAUACUAGGUGUUGCCCGUAUCGACCCGGGCAGUGCCGUAGCUAACGCGUUAAGUAUCCCGCCUGGGGAGUAUGCACGCAAGUGUGAAACUCAAAGGAAUUGACGGGGGCCCGCACAAGCGGUGGAGUAUGUGGUUUAAUUCGAUGCAACGCGAAGAACCUUACCAGGGCUUGACAUGUCGCGAAUCCCGGUGAAAGUCGGGAGUGCCUUCGGGAGCGCGAACACAGGUGGUGCAUGGCUGUCGUCAGCUCGUGUCGUGAGAUGUUGGGUUAAGUCCCGCAACGAGCGCAACCCUCGUUUUUAGUUGCCAGCAUUUAGUUGGGCACUCUAGAGAGACUGCCGGUGACAAACCGGAGGAAGGUGGGGAUGACGUCAAGUCAGCAUGCCCCUUACGUCCUGGGCUACACACGUACUACAAUGCUACGGACAAAGGGUUGCGAGCUAGCGAUAGCAAGCUAAUCCCAUAAACCGUGGCUCAGUUCAGAUUGCAGGCUGCAACUCGCCUGCAUGAAGGAGGAAUCGCUAGUAAUCCCAGGUCAGCAUACUGGGGUGAAUACGUUCCCGGGCCUUGUACACACCGCCCGUCACACCAUGGGAGUUGGCCACGCCCGAAGUCGUUACUCCAACCGCUUGCGGAGGAGGAUGCCGAAGGCAGGGCUGAUGACUGGGGUGAAGUCGUAACAAGGUAGCCGUACCGGAAGGUGUGGCUGGAUCACCUCCUUUUAGGGAGACCUACCUACAUUGAUGCUCGAAAGCAGAAUGCAAUUAAAGCCAAUGUUGGUCAUCCCAAGGUCGUUCAAGUUUAAGUGUUGGCUUCCAAACUAGCUAGGUUUGGUCUAUGGGCUAUUAGCUCAGGUGGUUAGAGCGCACCCCUGAUAAGGGUGAGGUCCCUGGUUCGAGUCCAGGAUGGCCCACUUGUGGGGGUUUAGCUCAGUUGGUAGAGCGCCUGCUUUGCAAGCAGGAUGUCAGCGGUUCGAGUCCGCUAACCUCCACCAUGAAAGACGGUAAUAAUUUAGCACUCAAAUUCAGCACAUUGUGAAUGGCUUGAUGAUUCAAGUGAGUUUAUAAUCUGCUGGGUGAAAGCCUAGCGAAGAACCUUGAAAACUGAAUAGAAGAGAAGUGUAAGGUAGUACACACAGAACAUUCAAAGUUCGUUGAGAGAAGAGUGAACUUGAUUAGUUUAUCUAAUUGAGUGAAGGUCAAGCUACAACGGGCUCACGGUGGAUACCUAGGCACACAGAGAA